RNAcentral lists this ribosomal RNA (497 nucleotides) under uncultured bacterium. RNAcentral's name for it is "partial 16S ribosomal RNA". It matches the Rfam family "Bacterial small subunit ribosomal RNA", at positions 28 to 507 of the family's 1533-position model. The record is from RNAcentral.
GAUGAGCGCUGGCGGCGUGCCUAAUACAUGCAAGUCGAGCGAACAGACGAGGAGCUUGCUCCUCUGACGUUAGCGGCGGACGGGUGAGUAACACGUGGAUAACCUACCUAUAAGACUGGGAUAACUUCGGGAAACCGGAGCUAAUACCGGAUAAUAUAUUGAACCGCAUGGUUCAAUAGUGAAAGACGGUUUUGCUGUCACUUAUAGAUGGAUCCGCGCCGCAUUAGCUAGUUGGUAAGGUAACGGCUUACCAAGGCAACGAUGCGUAGCCGACCUGAGAGGGUGAUCGGCCACACUGGAACUGAGACACGGUCCAGACUCCUACGGGAGGCAGCAGUAGGGAAUCUUCCGCAAUGGGCGAAAGCCUGACGGAGCAACGCCGCGUGAGUGAUGAAGGUCUUCGGAUCGUAAAACUCUGUUAUUAGGGAAGAACAAAUGUGUAAGUAACUAUGCACGUCUUGACGGUACCCAAUCAGAAAGCCACGGCUAACUACGUG